Syngnathus acus (greater pipefish) is the source of this 266-nucleotide long non-coding RNA. RefSeq lists it as uncharacterized. The record is from RefSeq and is a predicted model, not a curated record. The transcript is spliced from 2 exons. Lineage: Eukaryota; Metazoa; Chordata; Actinopteri; Syngnathiformes; Syngnathidae.
AGUAAAAGAGCUUUGUAAAACCAACUAUUCACGGCCUCGUUAGCGCAGGCGUGGGGAGGAGACGGCCAUCGACCAAUCAUCUCACAAUGUUUUGCAUGUUUAAUUAUUCAUAUUGUGUUUCUUUAUAACUGGGCAACCCGGAAGAAUGUGUUGUCUCUUGAUGGUCACAAGAACACACACGUUUUAGUGUGAGGGACCCGGGACCCAGGCGCCUGUAUUAGCUUGCUUUGUCAGGAAUAAACAAUUGGUAAAUUCGGUCUGAUUGA